Molecule: ribosomal RNA, 529 nt
Filed under: uncultured soil bacterium
Lineage: Bacteria
Description: bacterial SSU rRNA
Rfam family: Bacterial small subunit ribosomal RNA
Source: RNAcentral
AGAGUUUGAUCCUGGCUCAGAACGAACGCUGGCGGCGUGGAUAAGACAUGCAAGUCGAACGCUUGUCACUUGGUAGCAAUAUUGAGUGGCAGGAGUGGCGCAAGGGUGCGUAACACGUGGAUCAUCUGCCUGGAAGUUCGGAAUAAUUCCGCGAAAGCGGGACUAAUGCCGGAUGUGGCUGAGAGGCUAAAGCUGGGGACCCGCAAGGGCCUGGCGCUUCCAGAUGAGUCCGCGGCCUAUCAGCUAGUUGGCGGGGUAACGGCCCACCAAGGCUAAGACGGGUAGCUGGUCUGAGAGGACGACCAGCCUCACUGGAACUGAGACACGGUCCAGACACCUACGGGUGGCAGCAGUCGAGAAUUUUUCUCAAUGGGCGAAAGCCUGAAGGAGCGACGCCGCGUGGGGGAUGAAGGGCUUCGGUCCGUAAACCCCUGUCAUUUGCGAACAAACCUUAUGAUUGAACAUUUCAUGAGCUGAUUGUAGCGAAAGAGGAAGGGACGGCUAACUCUGUGCCAGCAGCCGCGGUAAU